RNAcentral lists this ribosomal RNA (253 nucleotides) under uncultured bacterium. RNAcentral describes it as "partial 16S ribosomal RNA". It matches the Rfam family "Bacterial small subunit ribosomal RNA", at positions 524 to 776 of the family's 1533-position model. The record is from RNAcentral.
UACGUAGGGUGCGAGCGUUAAUCGGAAUUACUGGGCGUAAAGUGUGCGCAGGCGGCUUCGCAAGUCGAGUGUGAAAUCCCCGAGCUUAACUUGGGAAUUGCGCUCGAAACUACGGAGCUGGAGUGUGGCAGAGGAAGGUGGAAUUCCACGUGUAGCGGUGAAAUGCGUAGAGAUGUGGAGGAACACCGAUGGCGAAGGCAGCCUUCUGGGCCAACACUGACGCUCAUGCACGAAAGCGUGGGGAUCAAACAGG